AUGCUCGAGAUGGCUGCUGCGAGUGACAGAGACCCUUUUGGAGACCUCCCUGACGAGCUCCUAUCGCGCGUGCUGUCCUUCCUUCCGGCAGAGGAUGCCCUACAGACCUGCGUGCUGGAAACCCGGUGGCGCGACCUCUGGAGGCGCUUGACCAGCUUGCGGUUCGUCUUUGAUGGGCCAACGUUUCCGCGAUACAACCGUUUCAAACGGUUGGUGAAGCUGCUUAUCUGUCUCCGCGGGAACUCGCCUCUCAUCAGGUGUGAGAUCGACGCCUAUCCUGACGAUGAGCCGGAGAACAUGUUCACAAACACCAGGCUGUUGAUUGACUAUGCUCUGGCGUGCGAAGCUGAGGAACUCAUAGUAAGAGCAGCUGACAUACAGUACGACCUACCAGUGUUCGAUGUGCCUCUGAGUCUCAUCUCCCAACACUUGAAGACCCUGCACCUUGAAGGGGUCAACCUCGACCACUCUGCUUUGAAGUUCUCAGGCUGCCUGGUGUUAGAGGAUCUAAGGAUUCAACUUUGCAACAUUCGUGCAUGUGAGAUAUCAUCCAUGUCACUAAAGCGCCUGUGCAUCACCGACUACUGUUCUCUACCUGACAUUGUGCGCCUUCGGAUUUGUGCCCCGAGUCUUAUCUCACUGCAGUUAGAGGAUUUUGAAGGCCUGACACCUUUCCUUGAAAACAUGCCAUUGCUAGAAACAGCCCAUGUUAACCUUGAAGAUGGAUGCCAUGAUCACUGUCGCAGUAAUCAGGGGGUUUGUGAUAAUAUUGUCUGUGGUUGUCAUGCUUAUCCUGUCAAGGAGGGGGUGCUUCUCAAUGGUUUGUCCAAUGCUGCCAAGUUGGACUUGAUAGCUUUACCUAAAAUGUUUCUCUACAGAUCGGAUUUGAAAUGGUGUCCCAUCUUUGGCAAAUUGAAGACUCUGUUACUCAAUGAGUGGUUUACGGCUGUUGACCUAGUUUGCAUUCUCCGACAGUCUCCAGUUCUUGAGUCACUCACUCUUAAGCUUGGCAACACCGAGGACAUUGUAGGAGCAACAGGAGCCCAAGAAACAAAAACACAAUCAUUUGUUUGUGCAUGCCUUAAGUCCGUUUAUAUUGAAUGUGAAGAGGUUGAUGAGGGAGUUCUUGCAGUCUUGAAUAUCUUAAGUACAUGCGGCAUACUUCGUGAUCAAAUUAGCAUCAAGGAGGAUUCACGUACAGACUCAGAUUGUUUUGGUCUGCUGUUGGAGCCUUUUUUUGGCCUCAAAGACCAUAAAAUUCUGGUUUUUUUUGUUUCAGCUACAUUUUUUGGUCUGCUAUUGGGGAUGUUUUUAGAAUGUAUGGCACACCCUCCAAAUCCAUUCAUAUUUUGUAUUCAUUAUCCUUCAGUAUAA
RNAcentral lists this ribosomal RNA (1374 nucleotides) under Triticum aestivum (bread wheat). RNAcentral's name for it is "partial small subunit ribosomal RNA". The record is from RNAcentral. Lineage: Eukaryota; Viridiplantae; Streptophyta; Magnoliopsida; Poales; Poaceae.